UGCGUAGGUGGCGCUGCAAGUCAGAUGUGAAAUCCCCGGGCUUAACUCGGGGGUGCAUUUGAAACUGCGGUGCUUGAGUGCAGGAGAGGAAAGCGGAAUUCCUAGUGUAGCGGUGAAAUGCGUAGAUAUUAGGAAGAACACCAGUGGCGAAGGCGGCUUUCUGGACUGUAACUGACGCUGAUGCACGAAAGCGUGGGGAGCAAACAG
RNAcentral lists this ribosomal RNA (207 nucleotides) under uncultured Eubacteriales bacterium. Its description in RNAcentral is "uncultured Clostridiales bacterium partial 16S ribosomal RNA". It matches the Rfam family "Bacterial small subunit ribosomal RNA", at positions 568 to 775 of the family's 1533-position model. Lineage: Bacteria; Bacillati; Bacillota; Clostridia; Eubacteriales. The record is from RNAcentral.